RNAcentral lists this long non-coding RNA (601 nucleotides) under Salmo salar (Atlantic salmon). RNAcentral describes it as "lncRNA (ENSSSAG00000097098.1)". Lineage: Eukaryota; Metazoa; Chordata; Actinopteri; Salmoniformes; Salmonidae. The record is from RNAcentral.
CAUAACAAACAUAUUAUACAUGACCCGGUAUUUAACGAUCUGAUACAGAAUGUCUCACGGUUAAAUGUCCCACCGUGUCUGUCACUCCUGAGACUGAGCUUUCUGAACUCGGGUUCCUAGAAGAUUUACAAACAUUUGCAAGAAUUCGUAAAUUUGCUUACUUUGCAAACUUGUGAAGUUGAAGGAUUUGCUUGAGACUAUCUCCUUGAUCUCGUUGUUGUUAUUGACAACCAUACACACAUCCAGGUAGCCUGGUGCCAGUCUGUUUGUGCCAUCAUGCCACUCCUUGCCACGUCAGAUAUGUUUGGCAAAUGACAAUGAGUUGACAUGAAAGCACAAACUGAUCUGGGACCAGAUAGUAUUAUUAUUUUAUUUUAUUUAACCUUUAUUUAACUAGGCAAGUCAGUUAAUAACAAAUUCUUCUUCCAAAUUAUUAGGGUUAGAGAGUCUGGUUAUUAGGGUUAGGAGUCUGGUUAUUAGGGUUAGGGUUAGGGAGUCUGGUUAUUAGGGUUAGGAGUCUGGUUAUUAGGAUUAGAGAGUCUGGUUAUUAGGGUUAGAGAGUCUGGUUAUUAGGGUUAGAGAGUCUGGUUAUUAGGGUUAG